UGAGUAACCAGUAAACAACCAGUGAGUAACCAGUGAGUAACCAGUAAACCAGCAGUAAACCAGUACAUGUGUUUAAAUGUGACAGGAGGAAAAUGGCUGUUCUCCCAGAUACCCCAACCAAAGACGAAGCUCAGUGUCAAGAUGAUUCACGUCCGCCAUUUCCCGGAAGUGCUUCCGCUAGUUAUUUAGUGCAAAUAGAAAAACAAGGGAAACGUUUCCAGGGGACCCAGAUGAGUGAUGCACCGGCUGUAGUUCAACAACCACAAACUACAAGCAGGUCUGAUGGAGCCCCGCCUCCUCCGUGUUAGUGGACGGGAUGUGGACCAUCACAGAUGCGUUCAGCCAAGAGGGCGGCGGCCAUCUUGAUAAACAGUCUGUGAAUCCUACAAACCCAGAACAUGCAAAAGGCGAAAAAAGCUGAAGAAACAAUGGCAUGUGCAAAAAUACUCUCCUCAAGCUCCGGACGCUCGGCUGCGAGUCGACAGAGGUCAAACGCUCUCGUGGGAAAAUCCCAUUCCCGUGAGGACAGAGUUACAAAGCUGCGAGGGAACGGGGACAACGUGUUGUCAGAGCUCGUGGAAGCCCGACGAAGACGGGGACUCGACACGGACACAUUUCUGAGGACGGUGGCGAGAGGAGACUGAUCACUGACAAGAGGUCGUCACAGCAACAUGAUCUCCAACCACAUCACGACACACAGGUACGCACAGGAAGAAACACGGGAACAAUUCAAGAUACACAACAACCAGCGUCUUCACAGGGAAACGAUGAAGAAUCGUCUAAAGCUGACGGGGACGUGAACAACCACAGAACGAGGCCGCGAUGGGAAAACGCUCCAGUUCCUCCAGACGUCGACAUGACGCCUGAAGAACGCUGGUGGUUCACGUGUUUGUGCUGAAACACACGAGUCUGGAGAUCAUCACGUCAGCAGAACUCAGGAGAAGCUGGAGCUCUCCUUCCUGUUAGUCGAGGCCGAUUCUCAUGAUACAUGUUCAGGGUUUAGGUAGAAAGAGAGGGUUUCGAUCCAAAAAGACUUUUGCUUUGAAAUCAGUUUGUCAAACUUUAAAAAUGUGGUACCCUUUCAAAAUAAAGCAUACUUAAAAAACGUAAGUUGCCACUAUGACUCAUUAAGACACCAUUGACUGUAAAUAAAGACGGACGACGUGAUGAAGCCAGAGACUCUCGAUCACCACCUAGUGGCUGGCUGCAGUAUAGGUCGUUAACACCCCCUCCUCCAUGUUAGCAGAUGGGAGAGGGACAAACGUCGUCCAUCUUUAUUUCCUUUAUGGUGUGUGUAGGACGUGGAUCUAAGGAUUCACUGCUUCUGGUCGUUUGGAGUUUCUCUGGCUGGAAGUGAGACCGAUGAAAACCUGACAACACAAAAGGUUGUUUACUUUCAUGUGUUAUAGCAGAUUUUAAAUAUAUUUAUUUACAGGAAUAAAUGAGUCUUUAGUGGCAAAUUAUGAAUCCUUUAUAAUUACAGGAUAUUUCAGUGGUACCACAAUAAUCCAAUCCCAGUGUGGGCCCCUGCUCCGAGGCAGUGGAGCAGGAAGUCCAAUCUGAGGUGGACGUCAAUUAGAGUCAAUUCACAAUAAAUUAAAUUAAACUGACACGUAACUUUAACUAUUGGUGCCUGAAAAUCAGUGGUUCACAAAGAUGCAGGUAAACUGAAUCCAAUACAUUCAAAUAUCUGAAAGUACUUGAAAAGAUGAGUGACAGACGAGCUGCUGACAUCACAACUGUGACACUGAAACAUCCACACAGGAGGAGAAUCUACUAUCAGACAGGAAACACGUUGAAUCAACACUAUUCAAAAAGAUAUGUUGCUAAUACUUCACUGGAGAUGUUACGAUGCAGGUGAGUUUUUAUAUAAACAUCAAGAAUCCACAUUUCAAUGAAAUCAUUUAAUCUGAAUCUUAUUUUUGUCAAAAUGUUCAUGUGUAGUUUUGGAAAGAAAUCUGUUCACCUACAAAGUAAACAAGACCCCCACUGCAGCUUUAGCAGCCCGAUCUAACACACACACACACACACACACACACACACACACGUACGGUACUGUACACACACUAUUCACCUCACGACAUCCCACAGAAAGCACGAAGCACACCUGUAACAAAAUAACCCCAACACUUUUUUAUUUAUUGAACCGUCCAGCAGGUUCUCAGCGAAGACAAAGCUGCCGGUGCAGUUCCCGGUAACGAGCGGCGACUACAUUGUGCUUUAUUGCGGGCGAUUAACUCCCGUUCUUGUCGUGUGAAUACUCGUGAAAAGGAAAGGCUUUUCAGAUCAUGCUCCCAUCUGAGUUUGAGAUGUUCUGCUCAGGUUCCUCAUUUUCAGUCGGGUUAUUACACCACCAGCAGGUUGCGUGUGAGACGUGGAUGUGGUUUCACUCGAGGAAGAGCCGUGCGGCUCCAGGAAGCUGUUGUCACUUCCUUUAGGAUUGUGUGAUUUUAACAUUUCUCAGAUAAAAAUUCUUGGAUCUUGAAGGAAAUCAGUCAUAUUUAAGGGCCUGAUCUUUGGGUGUGAUCUGGUGAAUCUACUGUUGGGCCUUGGUAGAGCUCCACUGAGUUCAGAAACACCGUCCUCAGACUGUCCACUGCUGCAGCUCCUCUGCUCAGCCUCUGUCUCAAACACUUAGCUCCUGUCUCUUUAAGACCCCCCCCUCCUGAUGAAGCCCCCUCCCAUAGGCCAGCUGGCACACUCUGUUGUGAUUGGUCGUUGUCUGCUCUCACUUCAGUCUCACGUACGAGCCGGACGACUGACGACAGAACUUUAACGUUCGGAACAAGAACCUCGUACGUCUCCUCUAAAUACGCGUUUUGCUGCUUCAGUUUCCUGUUGCGUAC
Molecule: long non-coding RNA, 2846 nt
Organism: Hippoglossus stenolepis (Pacific halibut)
Lineage: Eukaryota; Metazoa; Chordata; Actinopteri; Pleuronectiformes; Pleuronectidae
Exons: 3
Source: RefSeq, a predicted model, not a curated record